This 468-nucleotide ribosomal RNA is filed under the name uncultured bacterium. RNAcentral describes it as "partial 16S ribosomal RNA". It matches the Rfam family "Bacterial small subunit ribosomal RNA", at positions 28 to 507 of the family's 1533-position model. The record is from RNAcentral.
GACGAACGCUGGCGGCGGGCUUAACACAUGCAAGUCGAACGGAAAGGCCCUGCUUUUGUGGGGUGCUCGAGUGGCGAACGGGUGAGUAACACGUGAGUAACCUGCCCUUGACUUUGGGAUAACUUCAGGAAACUGGGGCUAAUACCGGAUAGGAGCUCCUGCUGCAUGGUGGGGGUUGGAAAGUUUCGGCGGUUGGGGAUGGACUCGCGGCUUAUCAGCUUGUUGGUGGGGUAGUGGCUUACCAAGGCUUUGACGGGUAGCCGGCCUGAGAGGGUGACCGGCCACAUUGGGACUGAGAUACGGACCAGACUCCUACGGGAGGCAGCAGUGGGGAAUAUUGCCCAAUGGGCGGAAGCCUGAUGCAGCAACGCCGCGUGCGGGAUGACGGCCUUCGGGUUGUAAACCGCUUUCGCCUGUGACGAAGCGUGAGUGACGGUAAUGGGUAAAGAAGCACCGGCUAACUACGUG